GUGAAUUCUACAUUUUCGAGGGGAGAUGAUUUCUUCUUGUAAUUAUAUGCCGAUAAUACCUAUGAAUUACUUUAACACAACCAUUCUUCAUUAAGAUCUCCAUACUAGCCCUUGAAGAAGAAGAGAACUGCUCUUCGAAACGUCGGCUUAGUUGGAAUUUCUAA
This is a long non-coding RNA of Coccinella septempunctata (seven-spotted ladybird), 164 nucleotides long. RefSeq lists it as uncharacterized. The record is from RefSeq and is a predicted model, not a curated record. NCBI's taxonomy places the organism in Eukaryota, Metazoa, Arthropoda, Insecta, Coleoptera, Coccinellidae. The transcript has 2 exons.